GCCUGGCUGGCUCAGUCGGUAGAGCAUGUGACUCUUGAUCUCGAGGUUGUGAGUUUAAGCCCCAUAUUGGGCA
Canis lupus familiaris (dog) is the source of this 73-nucleotide non-coding RNA. The record is from Rfam. NCBI's taxonomy places the organism in Eukaryota, Metazoa, Chordata, Mammalia, Carnivora, Canidae.